GUUGGUGUAGCUUAAGUAAAGCAUAGUACUGAAGAUGCUAAGAUAGACCUUAGCAGGUCUCCCCAACA
Molecule: transfer RNA, 68 nt
Filed under: Larsonella pumila
Lineage: Eukaryota; Metazoa; Chordata; Actinopteri; Gobiiformes; Gobiidae
Description: tRNA-Phe
Rfam family: tRNA
About the family: Transfer RNA (tRNA) molecules are approximately 80 nucleotides in length. Their secondary structure includes four short double-helical elements and three loops (D, anti-codon, and T loops). Further hydrogen bonds mediate the characteristic L-shaped molecular structure. tRNAs have two regions of fundamental functional importance: the anti-codon, which is responsible for specific mRNA codon recognition, and the 3' end, to which the tRNAs corresponding amino acid is attached (by aminoacyl-tRNA synthetases). tRNAs cope with the degeneracy of the genetic code in two manners: having more than one tRNA (with a specific anti-codon) for a particular amino acid; and 'wobble' base-pairing, i.e. permitting non-standard base-pairing at the 3rd anti-codon position.
Source: RNAcentral